Molecule: ribosomal RNA, 322 nt
Filed under: uncultured bacterium
Lineage: Bacteria
Description: bacterial SSU rRNA
Rfam family: Bacterial small subunit ribosomal RNA
Source: RNAcentral
GAUGAACGCUAGCGGUGCGCCUAACACAUGCAAGUCGAGCGCCCUCACUUUGUCUCCGAUUUUUCGGAGCCAGUGUGAGGGAGCGGCGAACGGGUGAGUAACACGUUGGAACCUACCCCAGACUCAGGGAUAGCCCGCCGAAAGGUGGAUUAAUACCGGAUAGUCUCGUAAAGAGUAAAGCUUUUGCGGUCUGGGAGGGGCCUGCGGCCUAUCAGCUAGUUGGUAAGGUAAUGGCUUACCAAGGCUAUGACGGGUAACUGGUGUGAGAGCAUGACCAGUCACAAUGGAACUGAGACACGGUCCAUACUCCUACGGGUGGCAG